RNAcentral lists this ribosomal RNA (248 nucleotides) under uncultured Limnohabitans sp. Its description in RNAcentral is "partial 16S ribosomal RNA". It matches the Rfam family "Bacterial small subunit ribosomal RNA", at positions 356 to 596 of the family's 1533-position model. The record is from RNAcentral. Lineage: Bacteria; Pseudomonadati; Pseudomonadota; Betaproteobacteria; Burkholderiales; Comamonadaceae.
GGGGAAUUUUGGACAAUGGGCGAAAGCCUGAUCCAGCCAUUCCGCGUGCAGGAUGAAGGCCCUCGGGUUGUAAACUGCUUUUGUACAGAACGAAAAGGUCUCUAUUAAUACUAGGGGCUCAUGACGGUACUGUAAGAAUAAGCACCGGCUAACUACGUGCCAGCAGCCGCGGUAAUACGUAGGGUGCGAGCGUUAAUCGGAAUUACUGGGCGUAAAGCGUGCGCAGGCGGUUAUAUAAGACAGAUGUG